This 484-nucleotide ribosomal RNA is filed under the name uncultured bacterium. RNAcentral's name for it is "partial 16S ribosomal RNA". It matches the Rfam family "Bacterial small subunit ribosomal RNA", at positions 30 to 507 of the family's 1533-position model. The record is from RNAcentral.
AUCGAACGCUGGCGGCAGGCCUAACACAUGCAAGUCGAGCGGAUGAAGGGAGCUUGCUCCUGGAUUCAGCGGCGGACGGGUGAGUAAUGCCUAGGAAUCUGCCUGGUAGUGGGGGAUAACGUCCGGAAACGGGCGCUAAUACCGCAUACGUCCUGAGGGAGAAAGUGGGGGAUCUUCGGACCUCACGCUAUCAGAUGAGCCUAGGUCGGAUUAGCUAGUUGGUGGGGUAAAGGCCUACCAAGGCGACGAUCCGUAACUGGUCUGAGAGGAUGAUCAGUCACACUGGAACUGAGACACGGUCCAGACUCCUACGGGAGGCAGCAGUGGGGAAUAUUGGACGAUGGGCGAGAGCCUGAUCCAGCCAUGCCGCGUGUGUGAAGAAGGUCUUCGGAUUGUAAAGCACUUUAAGUUGGGAGGAAGGGCAGUAAGUUAAUACCUUGCUGUUUUGACGUUACCAACAGAAUAAGCACCGGCUAACUUCGUG